GCAGCAUGAUCUAGCUUGCUAGAUUGAUGGCGAGUGGCGAACGGGUGAGUAAUACAUCGGAACGUGCCCUGUAGUGGGGGAUAACUAGUCGAAAGAUUAGCUAAUACCGCAUACGACCUGAGGGUGAAAGUGGGGGACCGCAAGGCCUCAUGCUAUAGGAGCGGCCGAUGUCUGAUUAGCUAGUUGGUGGGGUAAAGGCCUACCAAGGCGACGAUCAGUAGCUGGUCUGAGAGGACGAUCAGCCACACUGGGACUGAGACACGGCCCAGACUCCUACGGGAGGCAGCAGUGGGGAAUUUUGGACAAUGGGCGAAAGCCUGAUCCAGCAAUGCCGCGUGUGUGAAGAAGGCCUUCGGGUUGUAAAGCACUUUUGUCCGGAAAGAAAUCGCACCUGAUAAUACCGGGUGUGGAUGACGGUACCGGAAGAAUAAGGACCGGCUAACUACGUGCCAGCAGCCGCGGUAAUACGUAGGGUCCAAGCGUUAAUCGGAAUUACUGGGCGUAAAGCGUGCGCAGGCGGUUGUGCAAGACCGAUGUGAAAUCCCCGAGCUUAACUUGGGAAUUGCAUUGGUGACUGCACGGCUAGAGUGUGUCAGAGGGGGGUAGAAUUCCACGUGUAGCAGUGAAAUGCGUAGAGAUGUGGAGGAAUACCGAUGGCGAAGGCAGCCCCCUGGGAUAACACUGACGCUCAUGCACGAAAGCGUGGGGAGCAAACAGGAUUAGAUACCCUGGUAGUCCACGCCCUAAACGAUGUCAACUAGUUGUUGGGGAUUCAUUUCCUUAGUAACGUAGCUAACGCGUGAAGUUGAGCGCCUGGGGAGUACGGUCGCAAGAUUAAAACUCAAAGGAA
RNAcentral lists this ribosomal RNA (850 nucleotides) under Ralstonia sp. LLH-Irr-44. RNAcentral describes it as "bacterial SSU rRNA". It matches the Rfam family "Bacterial small subunit ribosomal RNA", at positions 66 to 909 of the family's 1533-position model. The record is from RNAcentral. Lineage: Bacteria; Pseudomonadati; Pseudomonadota; Betaproteobacteria; Burkholderiales; Burkholderiaceae.